RNAcentral lists this ribosomal RNA (579 nucleotides) under uncultured marine eukaryote. RNAcentral describes it as "SSU rRNA". It matches the Rfam family "Eukaryotic small subunit ribosomal RNA", at positions 618 to 1201 of the family's 1831-position model. The record is from RNAcentral.
GUUAAAAAGCUCGUAGUUGAACCUUGGGCCUGGCUGGCCGGUCCGCCUCACCGCGUGUACUGGUCCGGCCGGGCCUUUCCUUCUGGGGAACCUCAUGCCCUUCACUGGGCGUGUUGGGGAACCAGGACUUUUACUUUGAAAAAAUUAGAGUGUUCAAAGCAGGCCUUUGCUCGAAUACAUUAGCAUGGAAUAAUAGAAUAGGACGUGUGGUUCUAUUUUGUUGGUUUCUAGGACCGCCGUAAUGAUUAAUAGGGAUAGUCGGGGGCAUCAGUAUUCAAUUGUCAGAGGUGAAAUUCUUGGAUUGAUUGAAGACUAACUACUGCGAAAGCAUUUGCCAAGGAUGUUUUCAUUAAUCAGUGAACGAAAGUUAGGGGAUCGAAGACGAUCAGAUACCGUCGUAGUCUUAACCAUAAACUAUGCCGACUAGGGAUCGGACGGUGUUAGUAUUUUGACCCGUUCGGCACCUUACGAGAAAUCAAAGUUUUUGGGUUCUGGGGGGAGUAUGGUCGCAAGGCUGAAACUUAAAGAAAUUGACGGAAGGGCACCACCACGCGUGGAGCCUGCGGCUUAAUUUGACUC